This 524-nucleotide ribosomal RNA is filed under the name uncultured bacterium. RNAcentral's name for it is "partial 16S ribosomal RNA". It matches the Rfam family "Bacterial small subunit ribosomal RNA", at positions 28 to 523 of the family's 1533-position model. The record is from RNAcentral.
GACGAACGCUGGCGGCGUGCCUAAUACAUGCAAGUCGAGCGCAGGAAACUGACGGAACUCUUCGGAGGGAAGGCAGUGGAAUGAGCGGCGGACGGGUGAGUAACACGUAAGGAACCUGCCUCAAGGAUUGGGAUAACUCCGAGAAAUCGGAGCUAAUACCGGAUAGUUCAUCGGACCGCAUGGUCCGCUGAUGAAAGGCGCUCCGGCGUCACCUUGAGAUGGCCUUGCGGUGCAUUAGCUAGUUGGUGGGGUAACGGCCCACCAAGGCGACGGUGCAUAGCCGACCUGAGAGGGGGAUCGGCAACACUGGGACUGAGACACGGCCCAGACUCCUACGGGAGGCAGCAGUAGGGAAUCUUCCACAAUGGACGAAAGUCUGAUGGAGCAACGCCGCGUGAGUGAUGAAGGUUCUCGGAUCGUAAAACUCUGUUGUAAGGGAAGAACACGUACGAGAGGGAAUGCUCGUACCUUGACGGUACCUUACGAGAAAGCCACGGCUAACUACGUGCCAGCAGCCGCCGUAA